GAAACUUGAACCUGAACCGAUGAUCUUGGCAAUCAACUGAACCUUCUUUAAUUUAUUUGGAUCAUGUACUUCUAGCUAGCUAAAUGAUCUGAAGGUCUGAAAAACUGAAGUUGAAGUGAUUCUUUUGGUCCAUGUAAAAAUUUUCUCCUGAGGUGAAGAUGGGAGGAUGUUGUUUGUUGAAAAAAAUAGGAGGAUGUUUCCUUUCUUUUUGAUCCUGAACCAAAAUGCUAGCUUAUAUCAUGUAUUCUUGUUCAGACUGCAUAUAUCAUGAAUCCAUCCACUAUCAUUCUCAUUCUCAAUUGAUAGUUUAAUUUAGACUUGUAAUCUAUUGUACAAUAUAUUUAGUUUAUUUCUAUGCCCGAUACUAUCAUUAUCUCAUAUAUCUUUUCAAGUGUUUUUAACUAAACUGUUUCUGGAAGUUCAACUAUUUUUACAAGUGUUUUUAAGUAACUAAUUUCUAUCUCUCUCCAGAUUCCUAGAUAGUAACUGUAUGAUAAUGCUUCUACUUCUUUUGUUAGUUCUUUCUUGUUGAUCACACGUCUGCUAGAAAUGGUUGCCUCUUAAGGAUGCUCUGAAAAUGGUGCUACAGAUUUUUGUGCCGUAGUUCCGUUGUUGGUUGCAGGACACUAUUGUGUUGAAAUGUUAAUACCCACUGUUGGCACUUGCAGACUUGCUAAUAUGUGCAUAUUUUUGGAGUUGGAGUUCUUGUGUUACUUGCAGAGUGCUUGGUGGAACCAAUGCAUAGAAGCUAGAACUUCCUGACGUCGAUGUAAUGAAUGGAGGUAACCAUCUGUGUGCUGUUUUAGUAAUGAUGGGAACUAGAAUGUGGCUGGAACCAGAUAUGAUGCUUGAAUCUUCUAAAUGCGCAGCAAACUGUCCAUGCACUUGAAAUGUGUGGAUCACAACAGUGUAAUAUUCCUUUUGUAAUGCGUUGUCAAGGCCCAGAAUGCAAUGUGAUCAAAUUAUUGUUUUGUAGACAUAUGUCACAAUUUAUCAGCAUGCAACAUCCGAUCAUUAGCUCUCAUUUUUUUUUGGAUUGGAUAGAGCCAUGAUUUGAGUUUAUUGAUGGUCGUGUAAGGUUGGUGCAGAUUUAAAAUUUUUUAGUGACUUUUCAAUUGGAUUCUAAUUUUCUGAUUUUUCUAUGAUUUUUAUAAUUUUUGAAGAAUUUUUUUUUGCUCAAGAGGAGUAUUUAGCCCCUUGGUUUCCAAAUAGGGGUAGGGAAGUCCCACCCGAGUGGGGAGCUCCUCCCAUGGAAGUAGCGUGCCAUAUAAAUCCCUGUCGAAGGUCUUCUUCCCUGGGUUUUCCUCCCCCCAGCUGCCAAAUUAAGCCUAAGAGGGGUGAAU
RNAcentral lists this long non-coding RNA (1343 nucleotides) under Setaria viridis. Its description in RNAcentral is "long non-coding RNA (SVIR_LNC009454)". The record is from RNAcentral. Lineage: Eukaryota; Viridiplantae; Streptophyta; Magnoliopsida; Poales; Poaceae.